Molecule: long non-coding RNA, 572 nt
Filed under: Xyrichtys novacula (pearly razorfish)
Lineage: Eukaryota; Metazoa; Chordata; Actinopteri; Labriformes; Labridae
Source: RNAcentral
CAGGUUUUCCUCGGACGGCCUCAAUAUUCAGGUAGCAUGAAGUCUAAGCAAUACACUAAAAUUUGCCAAGCUCCAGGUUCAAAUUUGUUAGUCAUCAUUCAGAAUUUAUUGAAGCAGAUUAGAAAACUCUUAACCCCAAAUGUGUCUGCAGAUGACGUGACCAUCAGAUGAUGGAGAAAAAAAAAAGGCAGUGUGAGGAAAUCACUGUUUAUGCGUUGAAAUAUGUACAAAUAAAAUCUUCCAAUAAACUUACAAACUACUUUAAAGGAUGUUUUUAGAUUUAUUUUUAUUUGCUCCCACGUACUCUUUUCCCCACUGCUGUUGUAUCUGAAAUAAUGAGGUCAGUGAUGGUGGUGAUCACACACGCUGCAUGACAAUAUAUUAGGGGGCCAUAAAUUUAUGAACGCACAAAUGUAAUUUACACAACCGGUGAUUUUUUUUUUUUUGCCGGCAGUCCCUCCGGCUUUUAGCGGCUGUGUCUGUCUCACUGUUAAAAUAAAGCUCUGUUCUUCAGCUGUGAAAAAUGACGUGCAGCCUUCUCCAUUGUGGAGAUUGGUCCGGUGGCACUGACC